AAACUAACAAGGAUUCCCCUAGUAGCGGCGAGCGAAGCGGGAAGAGCUCAAAUUUAUAAUCUGGCACCUUCGGUGUCCGAGUUGUAAUCUCUAGAAGUGUUUUCCGCGUUGGACCGCACACAAGUCUGUUGGAAUACAGCGGCAUAGUGGUGAGACCCCCGUAUAUGGUGCGGACGCCCAACGCUUUGUGAUACACUUUCGAAGAGUCGAGUUGUUUGGGAAUGCAGCUCAAAUUGGGUGGUAAAUUCCAUCUAAAGCUAAAUAUUGGCGAGAGACCGAUAGCGAACAAGUACCGUGAGGGAAAGAUGAAAAGCACUUUGGAAAGAGAGUUAACAGUACGUGAAAUUGUUGGAAGGGAAACGCUUGAAGUCAGACUUGCUUGCCGAGCAAUCGGUUUGCAGGCCAGCAUCAGUUUUCCGGGGUGGAUAAUGGUAGAGAGAAGGUAGCAGUUUCGGCUGUGUUAUAGCUCUCUGCUGGAUACACCUUGGGGGACUGAGGAACGCAGUGUG
Molecule: ribosomal RNA, 509 nt
Filed under: Rhodotorula sp. DMKU-RK113
Lineage: Eukaryota; Fungi; Basidiomycota; Microbotryomycetes; Sporidiobolales; Sporidiobolaceae
Description: eukaryotic LSU rRNA
Rfam family: Eukaryotic large subunit ribosomal RNA
Source: RNAcentral